Molecule: non-coding RNA, 66 nt
Organism: Limulus polyphemus (Atlantic horseshoe crab)
Lineage: Eukaryota; Metazoa; Arthropoda; Merostomata; Xiphosura; Limulidae
Source: the annotation of a RefSeq genome assembly
AUUGGGGUGGCAGAUUAGUGCAAUGAAUUUAAGCUUCAUUUAUAGAAGUAUGACUUCUCUUCAAUA